AGCAGCCGCGGUAAUUCCAGCUCCAAUAGCGUAUAUUAAAGUUGUUGCAGUUAAAAAGCUCGUAGUUGAAUUUCGGGGUUAGUAAGUUGGUCAUGCCUUCGGUAUGUACUGGCUUUACUGAUUCCUCCUUCUUGACGGACCGUGAUGUCAUUAAUUUGGUGUUGCGGGAAAUCAGGACUGUUACUUUGAAAAAAUUAGAGUGUUUAAAGCAGGCUAACGCUUGAAUACAUUAGCAUGGAAUAAUGAAAUAGGACGUUAAUCCUAUUUUGUUGGUUUCUAGGAUCGACGUAAUGAUUAAUAGGGAUAGUUGGGGGCAUUAGUAUUCAAUUGUCAGAGGUGAAAUUCUUGGAUUUAUUGAAGACUAACUACUGCGAAAGCAUUUGCCAAGGAUGUUUCAUUAAUCAAGAACGAAAGUUAGGGGAUCGAAGACGAUCAGAUACCGUCGUAGUCUUAACCAUAAACCUAUGCCGACUAGGGAUCGGAUGAUGUUAAUCUUAAUGACUCAUUCGGCGCUUACGGG
Molecule: ribosomal RNA, 520 nt
Filed under: uncultured Glomus
Lineage: Eukaryota; Fungi; Glomeromycota; Glomeromycetes; Glomerales; Glomeraceae
Description: SSU rRNA
Rfam family: Eukaryotic small subunit ribosomal RNA
Source: RNAcentral